This 465-nucleotide ribosomal RNA is filed under the name uncultured Klebsiella sp. Its description in RNAcentral is "bacterial SSU rRNA". It matches the Rfam family "Bacterial small subunit ribosomal RNA", at positions 338 to 795 of the family's 1533-position model. Lineage: Bacteria; Pseudomonadati; Pseudomonadota; Gammaproteobacteria; Enterobacterales; Enterobacteriaceae. The record is from RNAcentral.
CCUACGGGAGGCAGCAGUGGGGAAUAUUGCACAAUGGGCGCAAGCCUGAUGCAGCCAUGCCGCGUGUGUGAAGAAGGCCUUCGGGUUGUAAAGCACUUUCAGCGGGGAGGAAGGCGUUAAGGUUAAUAACCUUGGCGAUUGACGUUACCCGCAGAAGAAGCACCGGCUAACUCCGUGCCAGCAGCCGCGGUAAUACGGAGGGUGCAAGCGUUAAUCGGAAUUACUGGGCGUAAAGCGCACGCAGGCGGUCUGUCAAGUCGGAUGUGAAAUCCCCGGGCUCAACCUGGGAACUGCAUUCGAAACUGGCAGGCUAGAGUCUUGUAGAGGGGGGUAGAAUUCCAGGUGUAGCGGUGAAAUGCGUAGAGAUCUGGAGGAAUACCGGUGGCGAAGGCGGCCCCCUGGACAAAGACUGACGCCCAGGUGCGAAAGCGUGGGGAGCAAACAGGAUUAGAUACCCCAGUAGUC